RNAcentral lists this ribosomal RNA (497 nucleotides) under uncultured bacterium. RNAcentral's name for it is "partial 16S ribosomal RNA". It matches the Rfam family "Bacterial small subunit ribosomal RNA", at positions 28 to 507 of the family's 1533-position model. The record is from RNAcentral.
GAUGAACGCUGGCGGCGUGCCUAAUACAUGCAAGUCGAGCGAACAGAUAAGGAGCUUGCUCCUUUGACGUUAGCGGCGGACGGGUGAGUAACACGUGGGUAACCUACCUAUAAGACUGGGAUAACUUCGGGAAACCGGAGCUAAUACCGGAUAAUAUUUCGAACCGCAUGGUUCGAUAGUGAAAGAUGGUUUUGCUAUCACUUAUAGAUGGACCCGCGCCGUAUUAGCUAGUUGGUAAGGUAACGGCUUACCAAGGCGACGAUACGUAGCCGACCUGAGAGGGUGAUCGGCCACACUGGAACUGAGACACGGUCCAGACUCCUACGGGAGGCAGCAGUAGGUAAUCUUCCGCAAUGGGCGAAAGCCUGACGGAGCAACGCCGCGUGAGUGAUGAAGGUCUUCGGAUCGUAAAACUCUGUUAUUAGGGAAGAACAUACGUGUAAGUAACUGUGCACGUCUUGACGGUACCUAAUCAGAAAGCCACGGCUAACUACGUG